CGCCCCGACCGCACUCCCUUAUAACCUCUCUCAACCGCCUCAACCUUCCAGUCUGCGUAACCUCCGAUCAUAGGUCCACGUCACAUGGCCUGAUCUAUCGUCAUGGUGCGCCUGCGCAGCUCUCACGAUGGGGCGUGGCUUACUUUCAGGUGCUAGUUGUAAGACUCGGCAGCAGUCCUGGGCGCCAUCUUGGGAUUGCCGCUGCACCUGUUCCCCACACUGUGAAAAAUUUCAAACGGCACUACAGCACUGAUUUGAAAAAUUCUGGGGCAAAGAACUCUUGUCUAUUCAUGUAACUAUAUAUGUUUUAAAGCUACCAUAAUUAAAACCCUGCUAAAAAGGGUGUAGGGAGGAGCAUCAAAAGCAAGGGAGAAGAACGGGGCGCGCAGGACUUUCUGGAAACUGUCACAAAAUGGAUUGCUGCAUAAUGGUAUCUUUUCUCAUUUCCUCCCAGAAUACUGACAUACACAGAAGUUUGUAUAUCUGACCAAAAUGUGUUCUAUCACUGGUAUAUGACAUGCAUAAUAGUUAUAGUCUGUCAUAAAGCCAAAUAAAUAAAUGUAAUCUGUUGUAUUUAAAUAGCAAAA
This is a non-coding RNA of Rattus norvegicus (Norway rat), 587 nucleotides long. Lineage: Eukaryota; Metazoa; Chordata; Mammalia; Rodentia; Muridae. The record is from RefSeq and is a predicted model, not a curated record.